GGCUAGGGUUUGAAGGUUAUUUCUUAGAGAAGAAUUAGGAGUUGUAAAGGAAUAGGAGUCUUGAGUAGGAGUCCUAUUAGGAGUCUUGAGUAGGAGUCUUAAUUGAGUAGGAGUCUUAAGUAGGAGUCAUAUUAGGAGUUAGGGUUUAGAAAACCUAUAAAUAGCUAUGUAUUCAUCCUCUUUUGAUAAGCAAUAGAUGAAUCUUUUCUGCAGCCUUUGAGCAGCAAUUUGGAGGGAGGAACCCCUAUAGAGUUCCAAGGAGG
This 263-nucleotide long non-coding RNA is filed under the name Musa acuminata (dwarf banana). RNAcentral's name for it is "long non-coding RNA (MACU_LNC000664)". The record is from RNAcentral. Lineage: Eukaryota; Viridiplantae; Streptophyta; Magnoliopsida; Zingiberales; Musaceae.